GUCCACGCCCUAACGAUGUCAACUGGUUGUUGGGUCUUCACUGACUCAGUAACGAAGCUAACGCGUGAAGUUGACCGCCUGGGGAGUACGGCCGCAAGGUUGAACUCAAAGGAAUUGACGGGGACCCGCACAAGCGGUGGAUGAUGUGGUUUAAUUCGAUGCAACGCGAAACCUUACCCACCUUUGACAUGUACGGAAUCCUUUAGAGAUAGAGGAGUGCUCGAAAGAGAACCGUAACACAGGUGCUGCAUGGCUGUCGU
RNAcentral lists this ribosomal RNA (260 nucleotides) under uncultured bacterium. Its description in RNAcentral is "partial 16S ribosomal RNA". It matches the Rfam family "Bacterial small subunit ribosomal RNA", at positions 793 to 1055 of the family's 1533-position model. The record is from RNAcentral.